This 496-nucleotide ribosomal RNA is filed under the name uncultured bacterium. Its description in RNAcentral is "partial 16S ribosomal RNA". It matches the Rfam family "Bacterial small subunit ribosomal RNA", at positions 28 to 506 of the family's 1533-position model. The record is from RNAcentral.
GAUGAACGCUGGCGGCGUGCCUAAUACAUGCAAGUCGAGCGAACAGACGAGGAGCUUGCUCCUCUGACGUUAGCGGCGGACGGGUGAGUAACACGUGGAUAACCUACCUAUAAGACUGGGAUAACUUCGGGAAACCGGAGCUAAUACCGGAUAAUAUAUUGAACCGCAUGGUUCAAUAGUGAAAGACGGUUUUGCUGUCACUUAUAGAUGGAUCCGCGCCGCAUUAGCUAGUUGGUAAGGUAACGGCUUACCAAGGGAACGAUGCGUAGCCGACCUGAGAGGGUGAUCGGCCACACUGGAACUGAGACACGGUCCAGACUCCUACGGGAGGCAGCAGUAGGGAAUCUUCCGCAAUGGGCGAAAGCCUGACGGAGCAACGCCGCGUGAGUGAUGAAGGUCUUCGGAUCGUAAAACUCUGUUAUUAGGGAAGAACAAAUGUGUAAGUAACUAUGCACGUCUUGACGGUACCUAAUCAGAAAGCCACGGCUAACUACGU